GGAAGUGGGUUUUUGGUGACAGCAUUCGCAAUUAUUUCAGACAGAAUAACGACAACAAAGGCAGAUUGAUAACAAUUAAUUCUUACAAUCGUCUCAAAUAAAUUAAUAAACUCUGAAUCGGAAAAAGAGCACAGUCUGCCAUGCUGACAUUUGCAGGUUAGUGCGUAUAUAUCCAAAUUGCACGGAUCUGUUAGUUGUGGACAGCUGAUUAAUGAUCAAUUGGGCAGCAGGACGAGAAGAUCCAAGGUGCAGACUAUUUUGGCCACAAAGAUGUUGCUGGUCAGUGCAUGAAGGUCCUGUGUGAAGUCUUCAAGGAGCAGGAGUUCCUAGAGAAAGUGAAGUACUUUGUGAUGUGGUAGAGCAGACAUGUGGUCUCAGAUGUCAUACGUCUUUGUGAAGACUGGAGGCAACGGGAGGCCUAUGACAUCAUCACUGAUGAUGUUCUUUGCUGGUUAGGAAACCAACAGAAACAUUCCUAUUUGAGUGGCGUCCGUGAAGCAAGUAAAAACGACUGACUGUGUAGCUCAGUUGGUAGAGCAUGGCGCUUGUAACACCAGGGCAGUGGGUUCGAUCCCCGGGACCACCCAUACGUAGAAUGUAUGCACACAUGACUGUAAGUCGCUUUGGAUAAAAGCGUCUGCUAAAUGGCAUAUAUAAAAUCGCCUUACCUGUGAGCAGUCAGUCACACAAUACCAGCAUGACUACAUCUCAGUCGUACAGAGCAACACUUCAGUUCCUCACUCAACUGAGUCACUACGCUUUUAAGUGGUGUUUUCAACCAGUGUGUACUGUACCUCUUGUGUGAGCAGAGAUGACCAAUCCUUCUGUAGCUCAGUUGGUAGAGCAUGGCGCUUGUAACGCCAGGGCAGUGGGUUCGAUCCCCGGGACCACCCAUACGUAGAAUGUAUGCACACAUUACUGUAAGUCGCUUUGGAUAAAAGCGUCUGCUAAAUGGCAUAUAUUAUUAUUAUAUUAUUGUAAUGCGGAAAUGUUAUGGACAUUGAAUCAAUGUGGAAAACUGAUUGGAUUUGCACAAAUUAACAUAAGAGAAUUUCAUAAUUUUCUUACCCAGCUUUUAACCUAAAUGUAAUGACAUUACGAAAUGUUUUGUUGAUUUCACGUUAGUUGACAACUAGACAUGGAACUGACGUCUGUGCCCAGUGGGACACUUCGUGUUGGUUUAGUUGGAGAUCACUGUAAUAAGAAAUUAAAAGAUUGGCAGCGCAAGUAUGCUUCUAAACAAUGAAUUUUGAUGUACAAAUGGACAUACAGUAUUUCUGUUAUAUGUGGAUUGUUUGUCAAUAACUAUUUAGUGAGGUGCAUGCUAAUGUCGUGCACACAUCAAUAGCUUUCAAAGUUCCAAUGUGUUAGUACAAUGAGCACUUAACUGUUGAAGUAAUAAAAGUUGAUAACUUAAAUGGAUAAAUGAGUACUUUUGCAGUAGCACUUUUGUGUUUUAUAAUGAUGAAUUCAUUAAUUAUAAUUUCUGUUUUCAGAACAAAACUGGGCCUGAAUAUACUUUAAAUUACCAAGAUAGAACUGCCAAAGGGGAAUGAGUUGCAAUCUACUGCAGAGGUAGCCUGCAAAGGUUUGUCAUACUUUCCAGGUUGAUGCCCAGUUAGAGCUUCUAAUUUAAAAAAAUGAAACUCUCCAGAAAUAAGUCUCUCCCUGUUGCCGCCUUUUCUAGACCCCCCCUCAGCUCCCAGCUGUGCCCUGGACACCAUAUGUGAAUUGAUUGCCCCCAGUCUAUCUUCAGAGGUUGUUCUGUUGGGUGACCUAAACUGGGAUAUGCUUAACACCUCGGCCGUCCUACAAUCUAAACUAGAUGCCCUCAAUCUCAAACAAAUUAUCAAGGAACCCGCCAGGUACAACCCUAAAUCCGCAAACAUGGGCAACCUCAUAGAUAUUAUCCUGACCAACUUGCCCUCCAAAUACACCUCUGCUGUAUUCAAUCAGGAUCUCAGCGAACACUGCCUCAUUGCAUGCAUCCGUUAUGGGUCCGUGGUCAAACGAACACCCCCAUCACUGUCGAACACUCCCUAAAACACUUCUGUGAGCAAGCCUUUCUAAUCGACAUGGCCCGGGUAUCCUGGAAGGAUAUUGACCUCAUCCCGUCAGUAGAGGAU
This is a long non-coding RNA of Oncorhynchus gorbuscha (pink salmon), 2126 nucleotides long. RefSeq lists it as uncharacterized. The transcript is spliced from 4 exons. Lineage: Eukaryota; Metazoa; Chordata; Actinopteri; Salmoniformes; Salmonidae. The record is from RefSeq and is a predicted model, not a curated record.